RNAcentral lists this ribosomal RNA (541 nucleotides) under uncultured Oxalobacteraceae bacterium. RNAcentral describes it as "bacterial SSU rRNA". It matches the Rfam family "Bacterial small subunit ribosomal RNA", at positions 96 to 633 of the family's 1533-position model. The record is from RNAcentral. Lineage: Bacteria; Pseudomonadati; Pseudomonadota; Betaproteobacteria; Burkholderiales; Oxalobacteraceae.
UGGCGAACGGGUGAGUAAUAUAUCGGAACGUGCCCUGGAGUGGGGGAUAACGCAGCGAAAGUUGCGCUAAUACCGCAUACGAUCUAAGGAUGAAAGCAGGGGACCGCAAGGCCUUGUGCUCCUGGAGCGGCCGAUAUCUGAUUAGCUAGUUGGUGGGGUAAAGGCCUACCAAGGCAUCGAUCAGUAGCUGGUCUGAGAGGACGACCAGCCACACUGGAACUGAGACACGGUCCAGACUCCUACGGGAGGCAGCAGUGGGGAAUUUUGGACAAUGGGCGCAAGCCUGAUCCAGCAAUGCCGCGUGAGUGAAGAAGGCCUUCGGGUUGUAAAGCUCUUUUGUCAGGGAAGAAACGGUGAGUUCUAAUACAGUUCACUAAUGACGGUACCUGAAGAAUAAGCACCGGCUAACUACGUGCCAGCAGCCGCGGUAAUACGUAGGGUGCAAGCGUUAAUCGGAAUUACUGGGCGUAAAGCGUGCGCAGGCGGUUUUGUAAGUUUGUCGUGAAAUCCCCGGGCUCAACCUGGGAAUGGCGAUGAAGAC